AUGUAGGAAUAAGUAACGAUAAGGAGGGUUAGAUUCCCUCCCGCUGUAAGACCAAGGUUUCCCGGGCAAUGCCAAUCAGCCCGGGGUCAGUCGGGUCCUAAGUCUAAGCCGAACGGCGAUGGCGAUGGCAGAGACGGUUAAUAUUCCGUCACUGCCGCAUGGGGCGACGUGGAGACGGAGCAGUGAAACCACCGCGGGGCGACGGAAGUCCCCGUUGAAGAGUGUAGGUGUUGAGGAUGGCAGGCAAAUCCACCGUCCGAGCUGAACUUGAUAGUAUGGAGUCUUCUUCGGAAGAAUCCAAUAGUGUGGGUAAUCAUACUCCCGAGAAAAUCCGCUAAGCUUAACCCAUGCGGCACCCGUACCGCAAACGGACACACGUGGUCGGGUAGAACAUACUGAGGCGUUGAGAGAUUCAUGGUUAAGGAACUAGGCAAAUUGACCCUGUAACUUCGGGAUAAAGGGUCCUCGUGAAUAGCGAGGCGCAGAGAAUAGGUCCAGGCAACUGUUUAACAAAAACACAGGGCUGUGCAAACUCGAAAGAUGACGUAUACAGCCUGACACCUGCCCGGUGCCGGAAGGUUAAGAGGAGAUGUCACUCGCAAGAGGAAGCAUUGAAUUGAAGCCCCGGUAAACGGCGGCCGUAACGAUAACGGUCCUAAGGUAGCGAAAUUCCUUGUCGGGUAAGUUCCGACCUGCACGAAUGGUGUAAUGAUCCGGACGCUGUCUCAACCAUGAGCUCAGUGAAAUUGUAGUAUCGGUGAAGAUGCCGAUUACCCGCGAUGGGACGAAAAGACCCCGUGAACCUUUACUACAGCUUAGCAUUGACCUUGGUCAUCCGAUGUGUAGGAUAGGCCGGAGGCUUCGAAGCGGGAGCGCCAGCUUUCGUGGAGCCAUCCUUGAAAUACGGCCCUUUGGCUGUCUGAGGUCUAACGCGUGAUACGCGGACACUGCUUGGUGGGUAGUUUGACUGGGGUGGUCGCCUCCAAAAGCGCAACGGAGGCUUCCAAAGGUGCCCUCGGGUCGAUUGGUAACCGACCUCAAAGAGUGCAAUGGCAUAAGGGCGCUUGACUGGGAGGCAGACAUGCCGAGCAGGCAGGAAACUGGGGCAUAGUGAUCCGGCGGAUGUGUAUGGAAACUCCGUCGCUCAAAGGAUAAAAGGUACUCCGGGGAUAACAGGCUGAUCCCCCCCAAGAGCUCAUAUCGACGGGGUGGUUUGGCACCUCGAUGUCGGCUCGUCACAUCCUGGUGCUGGAGAAGGUCCCAAGGGUUGGGCUGUUCGCCCAUUAAAGUGGCACGCGAGCUGGGUUCAGAACGUCGUGAGACAGUUCGGUCUCUAUCUAUCGUGGGCGUGGGAGUUUUGAGUGGUGCCGUCACUAGUACGAGAGGACCGUGAUGGACAGACCUCCGGUUUACCAGUUGUGCCGCCAGGCGCACCGCUGGGUAUCUGAGUCUGGAUUGGAUAAGCGCUGAAAGCAUCUAAGUGCGAAGCCAGCCGCAAGAUGAGAACUCCAUUGAGGGUCGUCAGAGACGAUGACGUUGAUAGGAUGCAGGUGUAAAGACAGCGAUGUCAAAGCCGAGCAUUACUAAUUGCUC
This 1593-nucleotide ribosomal RNA is filed under the name metagenome. RNAcentral describes it as "bacterial LSU rRNA". It matches the Rfam family "Bacterial large subunit ribosomal RNA", at positions 1294 to 2910 of the family's 2925-position model. The record is from RNAcentral.